GGAGAAUAGAUUCAACUUUGCAAGAAGCAACCCUACUUGAAUUAAAUAAUACUUAUUCUACAUACUAAGAGACGGCAUAAACCUUCAACUUAAAUGUGAAAAUGAAACCCAAUUAUUAGUUCAACCGAACAGGAGGCUGAUAGCUUAAAUGAAGUCCUAGCCUUUUAGGUCUAGUGACACUGGCAGAGCUCACAUGCACAAAUGGACGAAAUCAUUAAGUUAAUGGAACAAAUCAUAGAAUUAGCUCAUACUCAAUCUUUUCCAGUUGCAAGAAGAGUCGAGAAUGAUGGAGAAUGAAUUUAGAAAAGAAAUCGGGAGUGAUUGGCUCUUGAAUGUAGGCCCUUAUGGAUGACACUAGAAGCUGAAAUGGACCUUCAGUGAAUGUUGGGUUUAAUUUCCCAGCAUACUCGAACUCACUGAACUUGAGCUGAAUUUCCCAUUGGAUAUAGUUCAUAUUUGAAAUAUGGGCCUCAAAGAAG
RNAcentral lists this long non-coding RNA (479 nucleotides) under Olea europaea subsp. europaea. The record is from RNAcentral. Lineage: Eukaryota; Viridiplantae; Streptophyta; Magnoliopsida; Lamiales; Oleaceae.